UUUAUGGAGAGUUUGAUCCUGGCUCAGGAUGAACGCUGGCGGCGUGCCUAAUACAUGCAAGUCGAGCGAACGGACGAGAAGCUUGCUUCUCUGAUGUUAGCGGCGGACGGGUGAGUAACACGUGGAUAACCUACCUAUAAGACUGGGAUAACUUCGGGAAACCGGAGCUAAUACCGGAUAAUAUUUUGAACCGCAUGAUUCAAAAGUGAAAGACGGUCUUGCUGUCACUUAUAGAUGGAUCCGCGCUGCAUUAGCUAGUUGGUAAGGUAACGGCUUACCAAGGCAACGAUGCAUAGCCGACCUGAGAGGGUGAUCGGCCACACUGGAACUGAGACACGGUCCAGACUCCUACGGGAGGCAGCAGUAGGGAAUCUUCCGCAAUGGGCGAAAGCCUGACGGAGCAACGCCGCGUGAGUGAUGAA
Molecule: ribosomal RNA, 422 nt
Filed under: Staphylococcus aureus
Lineage: Bacteria; Bacillati; Bacillota; Bacilli; Caryophanales; Staphylococcaceae
Description: bacterial SSU rRNA
Rfam family: Bacterial small subunit ribosomal RNA
Source: RNAcentral